GAGAGAGAGAGAGAGAGAGAGAGAGAGAGAGAGAGAGAGAGAGAGAGAGAGAGAGAGAGAGCUAAGCUACACUAAAAACAUAUUAAAUCGUAUAUGCAUGUCUUGGUUAAAAAGCGUCAGCCCUCCUAACUGUAAAUAUCUUCCUACGCUACUGUGUGACAGUUCUAGCAUGUUUUGCCUGUCGUGUUUUUACUUAGCUGAAAGCUAUAUACAGUGCCCAGUUUAUAGCUGCAUGAAAAUUACCCCCUCUCCUCAAGGGAAACCCGCUCCGCCACCAC
Paramuricea clavata is the source of this 278-nucleotide non-coding RNA. The record is from the annotation of a GenBank genome assembly. NCBI's taxonomy places the organism in Eukaryota, Metazoa, Cnidaria, Anthozoa, Malacalcyonacea, Plexauridae.